RNAcentral lists this transfer RNA (59 nucleotides) under Hemidactylus foudaii. RNAcentral's name for it is "tRNA-Ser". Lineage: Eukaryota; Metazoa; Chordata; Lepidosauria; Squamata; Gekkonidae. The record is from RNAcentral.
GAAAGAGACCCGCCAGAUUGCUAACCUGGUCCACCAAAACUAAGACUUUGGCUCAUUCG